Molecule: transfer RNA, 69 nt
Filed under: Rattus norvegicus (Norway rat)
Lineage: Eukaryota; Metazoa; Chordata; Mammalia; Rodentia; Muridae
Rfam family: tRNA
About the family: Transfer RNA (tRNA) molecules are approximately 80 nucleotides in length. Their secondary structure includes four short double-helical elements and three loops (D, anti-codon, and T loops). Further hydrogen bonds mediate the characteristic L-shaped molecular structure. tRNAs have two regions of fundamental functional importance: the anti-codon, which is responsible for specific mRNA codon recognition, and the 3' end, to which the tRNAs corresponding amino acid is attached (by aminoacyl-tRNA synthetases). tRNAs cope with the degeneracy of the genetic code in two manners: having more than one tRNA (with a specific anti-codon) for a particular amino acid; and 'wobble' base-pairing, i.e. permitting non-standard base-pairing at the 3rd anti-codon position.
Source: Rfam by way of RNAcentral
GGGGAUUUAGCUCAGUGGUAGAGCGCUUGCCUAGCAAGCGCAAGGCCCUGGGUUAGGCUCCCAGCUCCA